This 546-nucleotide ribosomal RNA is filed under the name uncultured bacterium. Its description in RNAcentral is "bacterial SSU rRNA". It matches the Rfam family "Bacterial small subunit ribosomal RNA", at positions 777 to 1320 of the family's 1533-position model. The record is from RNAcentral.
AAUAGAUACCCGGGUAGUCCACGCCGUAAACGAUGAGUGCUAAGUGUUAGGGGGUUUCCGCCCCUUAGUGCUGCAGCUAACGCAUUAAGCACUCCGCCUGGGGAGUACGGUCGCAAGACUGAAACUCAAAGGAAUUGACGGGGGCCCGCACAAGCGGUGGAGCAUGUGGUUUAAUUCGAAGCAACGCGAAGAACCUUACCAGGUCUUGACAUCCCAUUGACCACUAUGGAGACAUAGUUUUCCCUUCGGGGACAACGGUGACAGGUGGUGCAUGGUUGUCGUCAGCUCGUGUCGUGAGAUGUUGGGUUAAGUCCCGCAACGAGCGCAACCCUUGUUCUUAGUUGCCAUCAUUUUAGUUUGGGCACUCUAAGGAGACUGCCGGUGACAAACCGGAGGAAGGUGGGGAUGACGUCAAAUCAUCAUGCCCCUUAUGACCUGGGCUACACACGUGCUACAAUGGACGGUACAAACGGUUGCCAACCCGCGAGGGGAGCUAAUCCGAUAAAACCGUUCUCAGUUCGGAUUGUAGGCUGCAACUCGCCUACA